RNAcentral lists this ribosomal RNA (576 nucleotides) under uncultured low G+C Gram-positive bacterium. RNAcentral describes it as "bacterial SSU rRNA". It matches the Rfam family "Bacterial small subunit ribosomal RNA", at positions 331 to 891 of the family's 1533-position model. The record is from RNAcentral. Lineage: Bacteria; Bacillati; Bacillota.
CGAGACUGCUGACGGGAAGCACAUUAGGGAAUCUUCGGCAAUGGACGAAAGUCUGACCGAGCAAGCCCGCGUGAGUGGAAGAAGGUUGGUUCGGAUCGUAAACUCUGGUGUUAGAGAAGACAAGGACGGUAUAGACUGAACGUCCCCUGACGGUAUGCUGAACCAGAAAGCCACGGCUGAAACUACGUGCCAGCAGCCGCGGUAAUACGUAGGUGGCAAGCGUUGUCCGGAUUUAUUGGGCGUAAAGCGAGCGCAGCAGGGUUCGUGAAGUCUGAUGUGAAAGCCCCCGGCUCAACCGGGGAGGGUCAUUGGAAACUGGGAGACUUGAGUGCAGAAGAGGAGAGUGGAAUUCCAUGUGUAGCGGUGAAAUGCGUAGAUAUAUGGAGGAACACCAGUGGCGAAGGCGGCUCUCUGGUCUGUAACUGACGCUGAGGCUCGAAAACGUGGGGAGCAAACAGGAUUAGAUACCCUGGUAGUCCACGCCGUAAACGAUGAGUGCUAAGUGUUGGAGGGUUUCCGCCCUUCAGUGCUGCAGCAACGCAGUAAGCACUGCCGCCUGGGGAGUACGACCCGCAA